GCGAAAGUAGUUCAACGGUAGAAUCCUGCCUUCCCAAGGCAGUUGUUGCGGGUUCGAAUCCCGUCUUUCGCUCCA
Molecule: transfer RNA, 75 nt
Filed under: Candidatus Stercoripulliclostridium pullicola
Lineage: Bacteria; Bacillati; Bacillota; Clostridia; Eubacteriales
Description: tRNA-Gly
Rfam family: tRNA
About the family: Transfer RNA (tRNA) molecules are approximately 80 nucleotides in length.
Source: RNAcentral